Molecule: long non-coding RNA, 1062 nt
Filed under: Mus spicilegus (steppe mouse)
Lineage: Eukaryota; Metazoa; Chordata; Mammalia; Rodentia; Muridae
Description: lncRNA (ENSMSIG00000018704.1)
Source: RNAcentral
CAGCUCUGUAACAAUGUAGGUCAAUGUUAGGCCAGGUCCCUCAUCCAUGGGAACAUGUUCAAGAGGCCAAAUCCCAACUGAGGGAGCGGUAGCCAGCUGGCCAGUCCGGGGUGCAUCCCAAAAUACAGCUUGUUUUAAUUAAACAACCGAGGACUCUGUCUUCUUGCAAUUCUCGGGUUCAGCCUGGACGCUUGCCUCUGCCUGGUCCCUCCCUUAUACCUACAAUAGAAAUCCUCCCCAUAUGUGAGGAGUAGACAGGUCCUGCACCUUUCAUUUUAUUUUUCUCAUUCACAGAUCAAGGCUUUGUGGGUUUGUUGUUUGAUACACAGCUCACUCUCUAGCCCAGCCUGGCCUAGGGCUCCCAGAGCACUUCUUGCUGCAGCAGACAACCACUCCCUGCCCAGAAGCAGACUGAUCUCCCGUGCCACAUCCUAAUCCUCAGACAUCUUUCCUCCCAUCUGUGCUUCCCAGAUGCCCGAGCUAACCCCAGCAGUGGGUACUGCAGCAUACAAGGUGAACGUUGUGCGCAGCUCCUUCAGUGCAGUACACCAUGGCUGUGGUAGUUGUCUUUCAUCCGAAGACCUGCCUGGACUACCUGGGUCCAGAAAACCUCGUAGGAGGCAGCCAUGGCCAGAGCCUUCUGAAGCCAUGUACCCAUGUAAAGCCUUCUUUCCCUAAGCCCCUUGAGAAUCCUGUCACCGUGGGAAGCCUCUGCACACAGGUGGGCUUGGGAUUUCAGGCUGUGAACCCCGUCUUCUCUAACAUUGUAUUCUAAUUAUGUUUUUAAUUGUUAAAGACAAUGUCUAUAACAAUUUAAAACAAAGUUCUCUUGUUUCAUUCCUCUUGCUGUUGGAAAAUACCCUGCCCUAAGUAACUCAGAGGAGAAAGAAGGUGCUUCAGCUAACAGCACCAGGUCGUGGUCCUUCUCCAUGGGGAAGUCAAGACAAGAACUUGGACAGCUGGACACAUGGCAUUCAGUCAAGAGCAGAGAGAAGUAAACACAUGCAUGCUCCCUCACAUGUUUGCUAUGUGAACGGACACAGUUCAGGACCCCAUGCGUAG